Molecule: ribosomal RNA, 253 nt
Filed under: Bacteroides ovatus
Lineage: Bacteria; Pseudomonadati; Bacteroidota; Bacteroidia; Bacteroidales; Bacteroidaceae
Description: partial 16S ribosomal RNA
Rfam family: Bacterial small subunit ribosomal RNA
Source: RNAcentral
UACGGAGGAUCCGAGCGUUAUCCGGAUUUAUUGGGUUUAAAGGGAGCGUAGGUGGAUUGUUAAGUCAGUUGUGAAAGUUUGCGGCUCAACCGUAAAAUUGCAGUUGAAACUGGCAGUCUUGAGUACAGUAGAGGUGGGCGGAAUUCGUGGUGUAGCGGUGAAAUGCUUAGAUAUCACGAAGAACUCCGAUUGCGAAGGCAGCUCACUAGACUGUAACUGACACUGAUGCUCGAAAGUGUGGGUAUCAAACAGG